Molecule: RNA transcript, 4007 nt
Organism: Ananas comosus (pineapple)
Lineage: Eukaryota; Viridiplantae; Streptophyta; Magnoliopsida; Poales; Bromeliaceae
Gene name: histidine--tRNA ligase, cytoplasmic-like
Exons: 9
Source: RefSeq, a predicted model, not a curated record
UAUUCUCUCUCUCUGCCUCGUCUAGGGUUUUUGAGGCGCACUUCGUCUCUAUCCCCACCUUGAAGCUCCUGCCAUGGCGACGUCGCCAACCUCCUCCGCCGUCAACCUCGGCGGAAAGGGCUCCUCUCUCACCCCCGCCGCCGUGUACGCUGUCGCCGGUGGCCUAUCUAUCGUACGGAUCGACUCCUCCGCCCUCGAGAAGCUCGCUCAGUCCAAGAGCUCCUCCCCUCCUCCGCCACUCUCCGAUGCUAUCCAAAAUCCUAAAUUCUUAACCCCAGAGGAGUCCCGAGCCACCCUUGGUGUCCUCCUCAACAAGCUCCUCGUCGCCGACGCCUCCGUGCGUCCCCCACUACCCACCCUGAUCGAGGAGGUCCUGUCCCUCCCGUCGGGUCACGAAACACUAGAUUUCGGAUCCCCAUUGCAGUUCCUCGAGUCCAUAUGCCGGUUGAAUGGGAGAAAGGUGGAGGAGAUUAACGUUUCCGGAGAUGAAAUCGGGGUUUUCGAAGCCUCCGCCGCUGCUCCGACCGCGAUCUGCGCGAUCUUGGACUGCUGCUCCUCGGCACUGGUGAGGGUGUCGGACGCAGUGGCGGCGCUCUCCUGCGAGGCCUCUAGGGCUGACGUGGGGGCCUUUGAUUUGCCGGUCUCGGGAGACGGCUUCUCGAUCAAGGACGAGACGGAUGUAGCCGGAGACAUGAAGGUGAUGCUCUUUGGUUCGAAGCUCGUAGGGCAGAAUUAUGCCGACUCCUUCGCGGAGAUCCCCACCGUCCAUGGGAGCUUCAGGGAGGCUGUGAGAACACUCCAUGGGAGGAUCCGUGUCGAGCUGAACUCUUCCAUUAAGGUCAGGAAGAAGAGUACAGGUCUCAGUAGUCAAGGAAAGGAGAAAGCUUUGGUGGCCUCUGCGCUCCCUCUGGCUAUGGCAAUUCGGUCCAUGAGUGAGAUUAGUCUGGGGCGAGCCAAAUUGAUUGUUGAGUCGAUCCGAGAUGUUGGUAUCAAGUCUAUGGUUUCUGAAUUAUUUCGAGAUGGGUGUCGGGGCUUUGACAGAUUGAAGGACCAAUUCGAUUCAGUAACGCAAAAUGCUGCUGCUGGAGUAGAUUAUGUAUCGAUUUUGAGUGGUGUUUAUGAUCUUCUGGUUAAAUUUAGGAACAUUCUUGCUUGGGAGGCUGCAUUGGCUUUGUUCACAAUUGAGAUUGAUGAUUCGAUCGAGAAAAUCCAGGGGAGUUCUUCGACGAAUGCCAAGACAAAUGGAGAAACUGCGAAAGGUGACAAGAAGAGCGAGAAGAAAAAGAAGAAGACUUUAGGAAAAGGGACUUCUGCUGUAAUGCAACUUCUUAGAAGCCGAGUAAUGAAUGGAAAGGAGAUAACAAGUGAACAUGUCACAGCACUUGUUAAUUGGGCUCGUGACCUUUCCUUUUGUUUUGAUCCGAAGGACAAAGGGCUUGAUACAUUGAUAGAAAAAGUGAAAGAAAUUGUUGAGAGCAAUGAAGUCAGGAGACUUCCUAAAAUUCCCAAGGGUACCCGUGAUUUUGGGAAAGAACAAAUGGCCAUAAGAGAACGUGCAUUUUCUAUUAUUACCAGUGUUUUCAAGAUGCACGGAGCAGUGGGCCUUGAUACUCCUGUAUUCGAGCUGAGAGAGACUCUCAUGGGGAAAUAUGGGGAAGAUUCGAAGUUGAUAUAUGACCUUGCUGAUCAGGGUGGUGAACUUUGUUCUUUGAGAUAUGAUCUAACUGUUCCUUUUGCCCGAUACGUGGCCAUGAAUAACAUUAGCGCAUUGAAAAGGUACCAAAUAGCAAAAGUGUAUAGGAGGGAUAAUCCAUCAAAGGGAAGGUAUCGUGAAUUCUAUCAAUGUGACUUUGAUAUAGCUGGCCAGUAUGAGCCAAUGGAACCUGACUUUGAGGUCAUUAAAGUAUUAACAGAAUUGUUGGAUCAACUUGACAUUGGCACCUAUGAGAUAAAGCUAAAUCAUCGGAAGCUAUUGGAUGGAAUGUUGGAGAUUUGUGGUGUGCCUCCUGAAAAGUUUAGGACUGUUUGCUCGAGUAUAGAUAAGUUAGACAAGCAAACAUUUGAGCAGAUAAAGAAGGAACUGGUGGAAGAGAAAGGGUUAGCUAUUGAAACAACAGAGAAAAUUGGCACAUUUGUGGAAAAAAGAGGGCCACCGCUUGAAAUCCUUUCUGAAUUGACGAAAGAGGGUGGUCAGUUUAUGGAGAACAGUGGCUCUGUUGUUGCGUUGAAUGAGCUAGAUAUAUUGUUUAAAGCGCUUGAAAAGUCAAAAUGUCUAGACAAAGUGGUCUUUGACUUGAGUCUGGCUAGAGGCCUUGAUUACUAUACUGGAGUAAUAUACGAGGCAGUCUUCAAGGGUGCUACACAGGUUGGUUCCAUUGCAGCAGGGGGCCGCUAUGAUAACCUGGUAGGAAUGUUCAGCGGAAAACAGCUCCCUGCAGUUGGUGUCAGCCUUGGAAUUGAAAGGGUCUUUACAAUUAUGGAACAGCUGGAAAAGGACAGGAACCAGGUUAUUCGUGCAACUGAGACACAAGUUCUGGUGGCUAUUCUUGGAAAAGACCUUACUCUGGCUGCCGAGCUCGUGAGUGAGUUGUGGAAUGCCAAAAUAAAUGCCGAAUUCAAACUCACCAAGAGGGUGAUGAACCACAUUACCUAUGCCAAGCAGUCCGGCAUUCCUUGGAUGGUGCUGGUUGGUGAAUCCGAACUGGAAAAAGGCAUCGUCAAGUUGAAGAACAUCAAAGCAAACCAAGAAGAGGAGGUCCCCAGGAAAACCUUUGUUGAGGAGCUUCAAAGAAGGAUUAACAGUGCUUGAUAAAGCUACUAGACAACAAUAUAAGGGGGGACAAGUGCAUGUGUACAUAGCAUUUUUUUCGACCGAGUGGCCUCAACCAUUUUGAUCAUUUGGCAAUUUAAUUCAAACAGCCAAAAUAUAGAACAGCAGAAAAAAAAAGGGAAAGUUAUUCAAGUCUUGCGUGAUUGGAUCAAAUGAUAGAGAAUUGUGACAUAUUACCUUUUCAUGCUGGGGUAAAUGGUGCAGGGCUUCUCGAGAUAUGUUAUUGAUUGGUAUUUCGAGAGUAGUGAAGAAAAGAGGAGGCAAGAUGCCAUUACUAAAGAGAAUUUCUAGAUAAGCUGAGCUCAAAAUUGUGCAUAAUUUAAGAACAAACAUGCCCCCCCUCCGUUCAAGACCGUUCUGCUCGAGCUCGAGUUUGGUAAAGGAAUAAGCCGUGACUCAGAGAUCAUAGAAUUGGGCUGCAAACACAAGUUCAUCAUGAAAGCAGGAACAUCGUUCUACUCCCUUAAAUGGCCAGAAUUUCCACGGAAAAGAUGCUAUCAAACAAUACUUUGCUGAGAAUGAAGCUGCCAGAGAAGAACUACGGGUGAAGUUAAGAGAAAAAAUGAUGCAAAAUGAGUCGCAAAGAAUAAAGGAUCAGGAGAACUAUAUGAUUGACGGAAAUUUGGGAGCCGUUGUUUCAACGAAUGAUGAGGAAAACAUCACCGAGGUGGAGGCGUGAAGCAGCAGAGCAUCGAAUUCAGAUAUGCUACAUUAAAUCCAUAUAGCAUAUAUUUGGGAUGGUGAGCUCCGGCAUUAAUAUAAAAUAAAUCUUGCAUCUCAUCACGUAUAGCGCGAAAUUUUGGCUGGAGAUUAAUUGGCUGAAAUUGAGCACAGGAGAAAACAAGGUUGAGAUAAAUCUUCCAUCAUAUUGGAGUGUUUUUGUGGCUUAUAUUUGACUAUACUCAAGAUUGUGGUGAGGGGUGGUGUCAUUGAUAGUUUGUUUCACACCAUCAAGACAACAGAUCAAAUCAGGGUUAUGUGAGAGGCUUGUUAGAUUGAGAUAGUAACCGGAGACCGCCGGGCAAGUUACACUUAAAUGAGUUUUUUUACACUUUUUUGUAGUGCUAGGUACUUGUAAAAUAAAUUGUAAUCCAUAUGCGAUGGCUCCUGUUUAUCUUGUAACAGCUGCCUUGUUUGUGCAUACAGCCUUUCAUUUGAAAUUUUUUGUUUUUCUAGA